Molecule: small RNA, 117 nt
Filed under: Klebsiella michiganensis
Lineage: Bacteria; Pseudomonadati; Pseudomonadota; Gammaproteobacteria; Enterobacterales; Enterobacteriaceae
Also listed under: 1 other name
Description: partial RtT sRNA
Rfam family: RtT RNA
About the family: This family represents a bacterial cis-regulatory element known as RtT RNA. The exact function of RtT is unknown although it is thought that it may be involved in changing the cellular response in relation to amino acid starvation.
Source: RNAcentral
GGGAAGGAUGAGAAGCUUCGACUAAGGUUCGAUUCGAGCGAAGCGAGAAAGCGUUGCCGCAGGCAACGACCCGAAGGGCGAGGCGCAACGCGCCGAGUAAUCCUUCCCCCACCACCA